Molecule: ribosomal RNA, 260 nt
Filed under: uncultured bacterium
Lineage: Bacteria
Description: partial small subunit ribosomal RNA
Rfam family: Bacterial small subunit ribosomal RNA
Source: RNAcentral
AGGACGAACGCUGGCGGCGUGCUUAACACAUGCAAGUCGAGCGGUGAUCCUCCUUCGGGAGGUGAUCGGCGGCGAACGGGUGAGUAACACGUGGGCAACCUGCCCCUCACACUGGGAUAACCUCGGGAAACCGGGGCUAAUACCGGAUACGACCUCGAGCGGCAUCUCUUGAGGUGGAAAGCUCCGACGGUGAGGGAUGGGCCCGCGGCCUAUCAGCUUGUUGGUGGGGUAAUGGCCUACCAAGGCGACGACGGGUAGCC